CCUACGGGAGGCAGCAGUGAGGAAUAUUGGUCAAUGGACGAGAGUCUGAACCAGCCAAGUAGCGUGAAGGAUGACUGCCCUAUGGGUUGUAAACUUCUUUUAUAUGGGAAUAAAAUGUUCCACGUGUGGGUUUUUGUAUGUACCAUAUGAAUAAGGAUCGGCUAACUCCGUGCCAGCAGCCGCGGUAAUACGGAGGAUCCGAGCGUUAUCCGGAUUUAUUGGGUUUAAAGGGAGCGUAGGUGGAUUGUUAAGUCAGUUGUGAAAGUUUGCGGCUCAACCGUAAAAUUGCAGUUGAAACUGGCAGUCUUGAGUACAGUAGAGGUGGGCGGAAUUCGUGGUGUAGCGGUGAAAUGCUUAGAUAUCACGAAGAACUCCGAUUGCGAAGGCAGCUCACUGGACUGCAACUGACACUGAUGCUCGAAAGUGUGGGUAUCAAACAGGAUUAGAUACCCGAGUAGUC
RNAcentral lists this ribosomal RNA (460 nucleotides) under uncultured bacterium. Its description in RNAcentral is "partial 16S ribosomal RNA". It matches the Rfam family "Bacterial small subunit ribosomal RNA", at positions 338 to 795 of the family's 1533-position model. The record is from RNAcentral.